AGGAUAAUAGUUUAACCCAAAACAUUUAAAUUGCAUUUAAAAAUUAUUGAAAUCAAUUUAUCUUU
This 65-nucleotide transfer RNA is filed under the name Trigonopterus tounensis. Its description in RNAcentral is "tRNA-Ala". The record is from RNAcentral. Lineage: Eukaryota; Metazoa; Arthropoda; Insecta; Coleoptera; Curculionidae.